UUUACAAUGGAGAGUUUGAUCCUGGCUCAGGAUGAACGCUAGCGGCAGGCUUAAUACAUGCAAGGCGAAGGGGCAGCAAUGUCA
Molecule: ribosomal RNA, 84 nt
Filed under: Dyadobacter flavalbus
Lineage: Bacteria; Pseudomonadati; Bacteroidota; Cytophagia; Cytophagales; Spirosomataceae
Description: Dyadobacter sp. NS28 partial 16S ribosomal RNA
Rfam family: Bacterial small subunit ribosomal RNA
Source: RNAcentral